CCUCUUCGGAGCAGUGGAGACAGGUGGUGCAUGGUUGUCGUCAGCUCGUGUCGUGAGAUGUUGGGUUAAGUCCCGCAACGAGCGCAACCCCUAUCCUUAGUAGCCAGCGAGAAAGACGGGCACUCUAGGGAGACUGCCGGGGAUAACCCGGAGGAAGGUGGGGACGACGUCAAAUCAUCAUGCCCCUUAUGUUCUGGGCUACACACGUGCUACAAUGGCGUAAACAAAGGGAAGCGAAGGCGUGAGCGUAAGCAAAACCCAAAAAUAACGUCCCAGUUCGGAUUGUAGUCUGCAACCUCGACUACAUGAAGCUGGAAUCGCUAGUAAUCGUGGAUCAGAAUGCCGCGGUGAAUACGUUCCCGGGUCUUGUACACACCGA
RNAcentral lists this ribosomal RNA (379 nucleotides) under uncultured bacterium. Its description in RNAcentral is "bacterial SSU rRNA". It matches the Rfam family "Bacterial small subunit ribosomal RNA", at positions 1014 to 1393 of the family's 1533-position model. The record is from RNAcentral.